CUACCCAGUCCACUAAUAAAAUCUCAGAUUCGAACGUCACCCAAAUGUGGCAAUAAUAACAACACGAUUUAAAAAUAGCUUCGAACGCUUGAUGCUUAUUCAAUCGGGUAGCAAUUUCAGUUGGAAAGGAUGACGUCGCUAUAAUUUUGAAAAGGAUUCCGUGCCAAAAUACGACUCGUUGACGUAUAGAUCUUUAAUGAAAGAACUACUUUUCAAAUUUGUCAUGCAACACCUGUUUUUAUAAAACAUCUCAAAUUCAUAACUAUCUUUGAUUGGUGCCAUAACGAAGCAUCGGCUAGAUUUGAACAGAUACUCUCGUUUCCGAAUUCUUAACACGCGUCACUGGCAAAGUUAUAUAAGCCCACACUUUUCAAAUCAAUGAGCCAAAUAACAAACGACGAAUCCCAAGAAAAACACACGGAAAUAAUACUUCCAGCGUCCAGGAAGCAAAGACAAGCAAUGGAUAAUCCAGCAUUUGAAAACUCAGCGGAAGGCGAUGAAUCCGGCAAGAAAAAGGUGUACACAGCGACUGAUGUGCCUGGUCCGCCAGGUAAUACGGUCCGUGCUCGAAAGUUGACACCUAAAAUAAACACAAAUUAUCGAACGAGUCAGACAGACAUUUUACCAACAUUGCACGAAAUACCUUCCGUGACUGAUCUGACUGAAAUGAAAGAGUCAAGACACAUAACGAAUGGCAGCAACUUAGAACAUGCAGAAGCGGGACCACCAACUUUGAUUCAGAAAGGGAAGGCUUCGGCUGCUUCGUUGCGCCAAUUAGUGCGAAACAUGAGUCGUGAUGUCAUACCGAAUAUCGACAAUUAUCGCAUGACUUACCAGAGGCAAACGGGAGCCAGACCCAGUUUACACGAACUGUGCAGUCCCACGACGCCUGUAGUCAAUGAAGAAGUAUUACUACGUGAUUUUAGUGAGGUAGAAGUUGAGGAAGGAGGCCCUAAACUACCAGAGGACAUUGCUAAAGACAAUGUGGGGGGACCUGUCAAAUUUGGAUGGAUAGAGGGUGUUUUAAUUCGAAACAUGAUGAGCAUUUGGGGUGUUAUGCUUUUCUUACGUCUUUCAUGGGUAGUGGCGCAAGCAGGAAUAGGCGAAACUUUGGUUAUUAUCGGAAUUUCGACGUUCAUCACUUUGGUGACGGCCUUGUCCAUGUCCGCCAUAUCAACCAAUGGAGAGAUCGGCGGAGGUGGCACUUAUUUCGUGAUGUCAAGAGUAUUGGGCCCAGAAUUUGGUGGAUCAAUCGGCAUCAUCUUUAUCAUCGCCAACGCGAUGGAUUGCGCCCUCAAUACAGUUGGUUUCGCUCAAACCGUGUUGGAUAUGAUGAAAACAUACGGGGGAGGAAUGAUCAUCGUGGACGGAGGUGACAACGACAUCCGCAUCAUAAGUGUCGUCGCCAUAUUCUUGAUCUGCACUGUCUGCGGUCUUGGAUCUUAUUACGAAACAAAGAUGAAAAACAUCAUGUUACUCAUUAUGCUGAUUUCCCUCUCAAAUUUCCUUGCUGGAAGCAUUAUGGGUCCUUCAGACGAAUUGGAACAAGCACAAGGAUUUAUCGGUUACAGCAUGGAAUUACUGAAAGAGAACUGGAAUUCAAACUACUUCGUCACUGAUGGCCAAAUGCAGAAUUUCAUUUCCGUGUUUUCCGUUUACUUUCCGGCCUGCAUCGGAAUUCUUGCCGGGGCUAAUGUUUCCGGUGACCUGAAGAACCCUAAUUCAGCUAUCCCCAAAGGAACGAUAUGGGCCAUCAUCCUUUGCAGCAUAGUUUACGCUGGAGUAGCCGUCAUCUGUGCAGUAACAGUAGCACGACAAGCUACUGGACGAGUUGUUGACUUGGCCAAUGGAACCUAUUUAAACUGCACCUCUUUUACAAACGGCACUAAUUGUAAAAGUGGCCUGAAUUACGAUUAUCAGGCGAUGUCUUUGGUCUCUGCCUUCGCUCCGCUCAACUAUUUGGGUUGCAUCUCGGCUACACUUAGUACAGCUCUCUCGGAUUUUGUUUCUUGCCCGGCUCUCAUCGAAGCCAUGGCGGCUGAUAAUCUCUAUCCCUAUUGGAUGAUGGGCUUUAUGGGAAAGGGAUAUGGGAAAUCAAAGCAGCCAUUACGCGCAAUUGCUUUUACUUUCCUGUUAUCAGUGGCUUUCAUUCUAAUAGCUAAAUUGGACAUGAUCGCCUUACUGAUUUCGGAUUUCUUUCUCGCCACGUUCGCCCUAAUGAAUUUUUCGACGUUCCACAUCAGCUUGGUCAAACCAAUCGGAUGGCGACCGACUUUUAAGUAUUACAACACUUGGCUUAGUCUCUUGACGGGCAUUCUGUCAAUCGUCUCCAUGAUCCUCGUCAGUCUACCUAUAGCAAUGAUAACAAUAGCUGUCGUCCUGUUUUUUUAUUUGUUAGUUCUCUACCGAAAACCUGAGGUGAACUGGGGAUCAUCUACUCAAGCACAGACCUAUCGCGCCGCUCUGAAUAGUAUUCAACAACUCGUUCACAUAGAGGAACACGUCAAGAAUUACAGGCCACAAAUUUUGGUACUAACGGGACUCCCCAACACUCGCCCAGCUCUGGUAGACUUUGCCUAUCUCAUCUGUAAAAAUAAUUCCCUGAUGGUCUGCGGUAAUGUUGUCGAGGAAAGAUUAACAUUUGAAAUGCGCUCCAAUCUACAACAAAAAGCUUAUCGAUACCUGCGAUUCACCAACAUCAAGGGAUUCUGUUCCGUUGUCGAUAACGUGAAUCUCCACACAGGCGUUGAAGUAUUGUUGGGCCUUUCUGGCGUUGGUAAAGUGAAGCCCAACAUUCUUAUGAUGGGCUACAAAAAUAACUGGGCAACCUGCGACAAAAAAACAUUGGAUGAAUAUGUGUUGACUAUACAUACUGGGUUCGAAAUGAAUGUGGGUGUGGCCAUCCUUCGACUACAAGAGGGCCUCGAUUGUUCUGAAAUUUUGGGAGACAUAGACGAAGUUAUUCUGAAUAAAUCUAGCGAGAAAACCUAUGAGUCAACAAGCCGCCCAUCAUUCGGACGGGAAAACUCAGUGAUCAGUGAUAGCAAUUUAUCGGAAACCCCAACAGACAUCUCAUCAUCAAUUAGAAAUUCGAGUAUCAGCGAAUCAGCAGUUGAGUCCACAGUUCAGGAAGAAGGCAGCCGAACUGUGGUGCUUGGUGUCACGAAAAACAAGAAAAGCAAGAAAAAGCAAAAGCAGGCCAUCACAUUUAGAGACCCUAAAGGAAACGAAUUGCCAAAGAGUUUAAUGAAUAGAGUAAUCUUGUUCCAGAAAAAACAGAAAAAGGACACCAUUGAUGUCUGGUGGCUGAGCGACGAUGGAGGUUUGACACUGCUUCUACCUGUUCUGAUCAAUAGCCGGUCCAAUUGGUCAGAGACUAAACUGCGCAUUUUCUGCACGGCGUCUGGUGUUCAAGAAUUGGAAAAAGAGCAUAAAGGAAUGACGGUAUUGCUCUCCAAAUUCCGAAUUGAUUAUUCAGAUCUAGUUAUUAUUAGUUACGCUAAUGCAGCACCGAAAAGCAAAACCAAAGAGUGGUUUGAUAGCCUGAUUCGACCCUUCCGACAAUCAGGAGAAGGAAACCACAUAAAAGAAAGAGAACUUGAAACUUUUCAGUACAGAACUGAUCGUUACCUCAGAUUGAGAGAGUUACUCCAGGAUCAUUCCUCGGAUUCCAACUUGGUAGUUAUGACCUUACCAAUACUCCGAAAAGGAGACUUUAGUGCCCCACUUUACAUGGCUUGGUUGGAGACACUCACUGCUAAUAUGCCUCCGUUCAUGCUCGUCCGCGGAAAUCAAACAUCUGUUUUGACAUUUUAUUCUUGAAAGGUUGACCGAUAAAAUUGUGAGCACUUGUUUUGUUAGAAUGGCCAGCAUGUACAUUUACGUACAUCUCACAUUAGAGAAUUGUUGUCCUUUUUUUAUUUUUUUGUUUUCAUACAAUCUUGUCAAGAACCCUAACACACGAGACACGACGAAAAGCAAUAAGGAACCAGCGAAAAAUCGAAAAUCUAUUACACUCUUCAGUCAUUCUUCUUGCCAAAAUGCUUCGGAAUCGGAAGCGUUCAGUAGUCUAACGAGUAGCAUUACGGGUGUGUGGAUCCGUGGAAAACUGGAAGCUGAAACCUGAAAAUGCCUGACAGAAUGUGUGCUGGGUACGCCGUACGAAAUUGGAUCGAUAUAUUUCACCAUGUCCAUUUUAAAGGUGUUGAAAAAGUUAUAUGAAAUUGCUCAUUGUUUCAGCCUGAUGGCUGGAUUACUACAGAAAAGCUUGAAUCAGUGCUCCACAACUAAUUGUGUGAUUGCCAGUCACCCUGUAUGGAGUUUCAACUGUAACAGCCUGUCAAUAUCUUAGAGAAUCCUAGUGUUGGAGCUCGGCGUUGCUGCAAUGUGUAAACAUCUCGCGGUUACUGGUGAUUCGUCUCGACCGUGCGCCUUCGCGAUCACUAAUAUGUGAAGACGGAACUAAAAUUGCAAUUAUGCUCUCGAUUGUUAGUUAAUAUUUAGGAUUCUGCUGACUUGAAAUCUUCGACGUUGCAUCAUUAAGCUUUGGCCAAUAAAAGAACUAUUCCUUUAUUCCCUUUCAUUUGGUAAUCUUCCACAUUGAAAAAGUGCACCCGGUGUGAAGAGUUUGGAAUUCCGAAACUCACUUUUAACGUAGUGACCAUCAGGAAAAAUGUCGCACAACAGGCAAAUAUUAACGACAAAUGUUCGUUGAAAGAUUUACAAAAUGUUUCAUUUAUUUUAGAACAUAAAUAAGGUGUACAUAAUGUGACUACCUAAACUCAUUCGUACAAAAUGCUUAUUAUAGUUUUCACGAUCCUGUCGUAUGCUAAUUGAUCUGUCGUUGUUUUUAGAAACAUUACGAAAAUGAAAUCUAAAUAAAAAUUGUACGAUUUA
This 4896-nucleotide unclassified non-coding RNA is filed under the name Daphnia pulicaria. RNAcentral's name for it is "bumetanide-sensitive sodium-(potassium)-chloride cotransporter-like, transcript variant X3". Lineage: Eukaryota; Metazoa; Arthropoda; Branchiopoda; Diplostraca; Daphniidae. The record is from RNAcentral.